UGAUUGUCAUCACCAUCAGCUACUACUCCUUCCUCAGUAUUCUCACCUCUGCUAGCUGAUAGAACUGAACCCUUUGUUCGUAGCUCCCUCGGUCGAAGACUUCCUUUAGCAUCAACAACAGCUCUACUGUCCAAUGACAGCCUUGGAGCUUCUUUGCAGAACUUCCACGAAGACCUCGUCCCUUCUUUUACUUCGAAUAUAGGAAGAGGGAGCGGUGACUUUGGCGGUGUCUCUACCGAGACAGAAACAACUGGCUCAACAGAUAUGACACCUACUGCAGCCUGCUUAGACUGAUCCAGA
This 300-nucleotide unclassified non-coding RNA is filed under the name Hevea brasiliensis (rubber tree). Lineage: Eukaryota; Viridiplantae; Streptophyta; Magnoliopsida; Malpighiales; Euphorbiaceae. The record is from RNAcentral.